This 450-nucleotide ribosomal RNA is filed under the name uncultured bacterium. RNAcentral describes it as "bacterial SSU rRNA". It matches the Rfam family "Bacterial small subunit ribosomal RNA", at positions 32 to 456 of the family's 1533-position model. The record is from RNAcentral.
UAACGCUGGCGGCAGGCUAAUACAUGCAGUCGAGCGCGCCCUUCGGGGUGAGCGGCGGACGGGUUAGUAACGCGAACGUGCCCUUCUCUAAGGAAUAGCCACUGGAAACGGUGAGUAAUACCUUAUACGCCCCCCAAUCAAAUUCCAUUUGGUUGACGGAAAUUCUGUUGAAUGCCGGAUGGCGUUUGAUGGGGGGGAAAGAUUUAUCGGAGAAGGAUCGGCCCGCGUUAGAUUAGAUAGUUGGUGGGGUAAUGGCCUACCAAGUCUACGAUCUAUAGCUGGUUUUAGAGGAUGAUCAGCAACACUUGGGACUGAGACACGGCCCCAGACUCCUACGGGAGGCAGCAGUGGGGAAUCUUAGACAAUGGGGGCAACCCUGAUCUAGCCAUGCCGCGUGAGUGAUGAAGGCCUUAGGGUCGUAAAGCUCUUUCGCCUGUGAUGAUUAUGACA